Non-coding RNA from Chlorocebus sabaeus (green monkey), 596 nucleotides. Lineage: Eukaryota; Metazoa; Chordata; Mammalia; Primates; Cercopithecidae. The record is from RefSeq and is a predicted model, not a curated record.
AGUGACCAUCUUACUUUUCUCCCUCAGGACUUCCUGGGCAGAUACCCAGUCUCCAGGCACUCCUGGGUGGGGGCCUGGCGAGGCCCCCAGGGCUGGCACUGGAUUGACGAGGCCCCUCUGCCACCCCAGCUACUCCCUGAGGACGGCAAGGACAACCCGGAUAUCAACUGCGGGGCCCUGGAGGAAGGCACUCUGGUGGCUGCAAACUGCAGCACUCCAAGACCCUGGGUCUGUGCCAAGGGGACCCAGUGAUCUGGGCUCUGCCUGUCCUCAGCCUGCCAGGCGGAUGCAGCACCCCUACAGGGGAGGCCAGCUAAGAGCUUGGGCAGCCUCUUCCUGGACCCAGGCAUCCAGGUCUCCCUGCUCUGUUCAAGGGGGCACACACGAGCGAGUCUAGGAGCUGGACUUCAACCCAGGAAGAUGCAUCCGAGGGAAAGGAGAUUUUCUGUGGCCUCAGGCCCGAGUGCCAAUAUUAGUCUCCAGCUUCUGUGGAUGAUUCGUUUGAUGACAUUGGGAUGGUUGUUUAGCAUGUCUGUGCCUUGGUUUCAUUAAAAUGACAAUUUCUCCCUAGAGGAAAAAGACAGGGUUAGCAACCA